UACGUAGGGAGCAAGCGUUGUCCGGAAUCAUUGGGCGUAAAGCGCGCGUAGGUGGCUCCAUAAGUCCGUUGUGAAAGUCAAAGGCUCAACCUUUGAAAGCCGAUGGAUACUGUGGAGCUAGAGUACGGAAGAGGCGAGUGGAAUUCCUGGUGUAGCGGUGGAAUGCGCAGAUAUCAGGAGGAACACCAAUAGCGAAGGCAGCUCGCUGGGACGUUACUGACGCUGAGACGCGAAAGCGUGGGGAGCGAACAGG
This 253-nucleotide ribosomal RNA is filed under the name uncultured bacterium. Its description in RNAcentral is "partial 16S ribosomal RNA". It matches the Rfam family "Bacterial small subunit ribosomal RNA", at positions 524 to 776 of the family's 1533-position model. The record is from RNAcentral.